This 1257-nucleotide long non-coding RNA is filed under the name Danio rerio (zebrafish). Its description in RNAcentral is "lncRNA si:ch73-208g21.1 (ENSDARG00000097649.2)". Lineage: Eukaryota; Metazoa; Chordata; Actinopteri; Cypriniformes; Danionidae. The record is from RNAcentral.
CUGUGAAAUAAAUGGUCAUAACACAAAUCGAAUAGUACUUUAAUCCGACCAGUUAAUCAAUAAUAGGCCUACUGAGAUGAAUUUGUGAAUGAUUCAAAUCCACAGCGCGCAUAUCAGUGCAAUUCGACUCAUGAACAAAUGAUUCUUUUGAAUCAGUUCUCGUGAUGAAUCGUUCAUUUCUAAAACGGUCAUUGGCUCAGUCUGUUUGAACUGUGAGCGCGUCAACUGAACCAACAGAAUCGGCUCGUUUUGUGGUGCUUUUGGAAGAUAUUUAACUUCACAAAAUGAACAUAAAGUCAUAUGUAAUUAACAACUGUCGGUUUUAUGACAAGACGUGUCACACUGUUGCGAUGUGGUGUAUUUUUGGCCUCGGAAGUUCGCUGAGAUGAAACAACGCACAGCUGGACCAUCAUCAUAAAAUCACAACCAAAGGCAAACAAGACCGCAACGUAUUUCCAGCAUCUCUUCAUCAGAGGAAGAGGAGGAGGGACAUACGACUUCAUUGAGGAGAUUACAGCGAUCGCGCGCACACACACAACACACCACUACAGAUUGCCGUGUCUCCGGAGGAUAGUUGUAGUGUAUUAAAGCGCUCGACGCUGCUUUACACACCAUCUGCUUGAGCGGAAACAAGACGAGAGGAACAACACUCAAUCCUUCAAUGACGCUGAACUGUUCAGAGACACUCCGUGAUGAACGCCGGCUGAAAGUUUUGACCUUUUAUUGCGUUUUAUUUUUAGCUGAUGCAUAAGCAGAAAUCAUCUCAUUACUGGGACUGAUGGAGACAUGACAGAAAGCUUUGUUUGUGUUGCAUAUAAAGAGGGAAAUAAAUGAGAUUAUUGGUUUUUCCGUGUCUUACGCAGGUGCUUUUGACUUGUAUGGAAAUAUCAGGACAAAUUAAAUUAGUCCUAUAGUAGGUAUAUUAAAGUUGUCCAUCACUGACGGCUAGGGUGGUCUUUAUGCAGUUUUAUAAUUGAUUAUUAGAUGGACUUUGGUGUAAAUGAGCUGAUAUGGUUCUCGUGGGACACCUUUUCUUCAGGGGCCGUGCGGUAAUGCAGGAGAUUAUGAGAAAGGGAGAAUUCAUGGAUGGUUAUGCAGGUCUUAUGCUAGAGCUGUUCAUUUUCUGAUGGGACAUUGUUUGAAGAUGUAUUCAUUUUUAUAAGUGUUUAAAUAUUAUUUCCUUAUUCUCCGUAUAGAGAUUUGAAUGAUUUUAAUAUAUUUAGUAUAGGUAUUUUUAUAUAAAAAAUACAAAUCACA